AUGAUUUUGCUCCUCUCUUCUCUUCUUCCUGUCACAGUCCCCUCAAUCUCGCCAUGGUAUUAUCACCCCUCACCACCGGCAGUCCAUCCUUUCUUUUUCCCUCUUUCGCUCGUCUACCUCUAUGGAGUUGAGUAGUUAAAUUCUUCCUCUGUUUUGUCUUUGCUGUGGGUUGAUGAUGGUAUACGAGGGUGUUUAAAUUUCAUCUUCCUCCUUCGUUCUUAGCAUCUCUGGUGAGGGAGAUUAGGAUUUUAUGUGGGCUGCCAUUCUUCUUCUUUUGCUUUUUCGGUGAAGGUUUGUUCGAGCUUUCAAUCUGCAGCCUCAGGCGUCGCCUCCUUCUUCGCUGUUACAGCUGUCAAUGCUACCAUAGAUCGCAUUUGUGCAAGAAAAUAGAAGAAAGGAAAGGAAGAAAAUGAAGAGAACAUUGGAGCUCUGCUAGGGUAUGCAUAUUGGCUUCCAUUAUUGACGUUUUGAAGCUCCCAAACACCUAAGGACCGGGCAGUGAUCAAAGCAAUAGAAGAAAGUUUAUAUCGGCUUGAGUUAUGAAGCCAUGUAUAUUCGAAGUUGUGAAAAUGAAUUGAACUAAGAAUUUUUGUAUAUAUGUGUAUAUGAGUUGCUAUAGGAUUACAUGCAUAUUUUAAGUAAUGUAUUUGUGAAAUUAUAGCCUGAAUGUGUAUAUUUGUGGUGUUUUAAAUUAGGGGCUAUGAUUUGGCCAUGAUUGUGUGAAAUUAUUGUGAUUGAAGGUGAAUCUUAAGCCUAAGUGAGAAAUUAUGAUAAAAUGAG
Molecule: long non-coding RNA, 780 nt
Organism: Prosopis cineraria
Lineage: Eukaryota; Viridiplantae; Streptophyta; Magnoliopsida; Fabales; Fabaceae
Exons: 3
Source: RefSeq, a predicted model, not a curated record